RNAcentral lists this long non-coding RNA (346 nucleotides) under Parus major (Great Tit). Its description in RNAcentral is "lncRNA (ENSPMJG00000002621.1)". The record is from RNAcentral. Lineage: Eukaryota; Metazoa; Chordata; Aves; Passeriformes; Paridae.
AUAUAAUAGUAAAUUCAGUUUUACUUUGAUAUUUCAUUUCAUUACAGCCACAACUAAUAGCCUAAAGUAGUUCUUCUCUUCAAAGAGGAGAGUGGAUUCCCAACAACAGAUGUGGUUUUUGCAGUGGUUCUGCCAGGGCUCCCAUGAUAUCUUUAGAAGCAUUCAACCUAGAAUGAAAGGGCUCCCUGGAUUCCUUAAACAUAUGGAUGAAUCCCAUUUUUUUUACAGUAAGGACAGAUGCUUCAAAAUGGAAGAGAGAUUAGAACUGCAGCAUAUCACCUUUCAAAUGGCAUCUGCACAAAGUCUAUUCCAUAUGAACAAAAUCUCUGAAAACAAGUGCACGUGA